This 253-nucleotide ribosomal RNA is filed under the name uncultured bacterium. RNAcentral's name for it is "partial 16S ribosomal RNA". It matches the Rfam family "Bacterial small subunit ribosomal RNA", at positions 524 to 776 of the family's 1533-position model. The record is from RNAcentral.
UACGGGGGGGGCAAGCGUUGUUCGGAAUUACUGGGCGUAAAGGGCGCGUAGGCGGCCUUCUAAGUCGGACGUGAAAUCCCUCGGCUUAACCGGGGAACUGCGUCUGAUACUGGAUGGCUUGAGUUUGGGAGAGGGAUGCGGAAUUCCAGGUGUAGCGGUGAAAUGCGUAGAUAUCGUAAGGAAGACCAGUGGCGAAGGCGGGUCUCUGGACAGUUCCUGACGCUGAGGCACGAAGGCCAGGGGAGCAAACGGG